RNAcentral lists this ribosomal RNA (502 nucleotides) under uncultured bacterium. Its description in RNAcentral is "partial 16S ribosomal RNA". It matches the Rfam family "Bacterial small subunit ribosomal RNA", at positions 28 to 507 of the family's 1533-position model. The record is from RNAcentral.
GACGAACGCUGGCGGCGUGCUUAACACAUGCAAGUCGAACGGUGAAGGGGUCUGCUUUUGUGGGCCCUGGAUGAGUGGCGAACGGGUGAGUAACACGUGAGUAACCUGCCCCCUUCUUCUGGAUAACCGCAUGAAAGUGUGGCUAAUACGGGAUAUUCUGGGUCUGUCGCAUGAUGGGUCUGGGAAAGAUUGCGCCUUUGGGUGUUUUUGGUGGGGGAUGGGCUCGCGGCCUAUCAGCUUGUUGGUGGGGUGAUGGCCUACCAAGGCGGUGACGGGUAGCCGGCCUGAGAGGGUGGACGGUCACACUGGGACUGAGACACGGCCCAGACUCCUACGGGAGGCAGCAGUGGGGAAUAUUGCACAAUGGGCGCAAGCCUGAUGCAGCGACGCCGCGUGAGGGAUGGAGGCCUUCGGGUUGUAAACCUCUGUCGCCAGUGAAGCAGGCCUGCUCCUUGUGGGUGGGUUGACGGUAGCUGGAUAAGAAGCGCCGGCUAACUACGUG